GAUAGCUAUAGUUCAAAGGUAGAACAAUUGUAUGUGGCGCAAUAUAUCUGAGUUCAAUUCUCAGUGGUUAUC
This 72-nucleotide transfer RNA is filed under the name Clavispora lusitaniae. RNAcentral describes it as "tRNA-His". It matches the Rfam family "tRNA". From Rfam's summary of the family: Transfer RNA (tRNA) molecules are approximately 80 nucleotides in length. Their secondary structure includes four short double-helical elements and three loops (D, anti-codon, and T loops). Further hydrogen bonds mediate the characteristic L-shaped molecular structure. tRNAs have two regions of fundamental functional importance: the anti-codon, which is responsible for specific mRNA codon recognition, and the 3' end, to which the tRNAs corresponding amino acid is attached (by aminoacyl-tRNA synthetases). tRNAs cope with the degeneracy of the genetic code in two manners: having more than one tRNA (with a specific anti-codon) for a particular amino acid; and 'wobble' base-pairing, i.e. permitting non-standard base-pairing at the 3rd anti-codon position. The record is from RNAcentral. RNAcentral also lists the same sequence under 1 other name. Lineage: Eukaryota; Fungi; Ascomycota; Pichiomycetes; Serinales; Metschnikowiaceae.